Molecule: ribosomal RNA, 591 nt
Filed under: uncultured bacterium
Lineage: Bacteria
Description: bacterial SSU rRNA
Rfam family: Bacterial small subunit ribosomal RNA
Source: RNAcentral
ACGGGUGAGUAACGCGUAGACAACCUACCUUCUAGAUGGGGACAACACUGCGAAAGUGGUGCUAAUACCGAAUGUUGUAUUUUAGAUGCAUGUUUAAGAUACUAAAGGUGGCCUCUAUAUAUAAGCUACCACUAGAAGAUGGGUCUGCGUCUGAUUAGCUAGUUGGUGAGGUAAUGGCUCACCAAGGCGACGAUCAGUAGCCGGUCUGAGAGGAUGAACGGCCACACUGGGACUGAGACACGGCCCAGACUCCUACGGGAGGCAGCAGUGGGGAAUCUUCCGCAAUGGACGAAAGUCUGACGGAGCAACGCCGCGUGAGUGAAGAAGGUUUUCGGAUCGUAAAACUCUGUUUUCAGGGACGAAUGUGCGAUAUGUGAAUAAUGUGUUGUAAUGACGGUACCUGACAAGAAAGCCACGGCUAACUACGUGCCAGCAGCCGCGGUAAUACGUAGGUGGCAAGCGUUGUCCGGAAUUAUUGGGCGUAAAGCGCGCGCAGGUGGGAUAAUAAGUCUGAUGUUAAAGUUCGGGGCUCAACCCCGUGAAGCAUUUGGAUACUGUUAUUCUUGAGUGCAGGAGAGGAAAGUGGAAUUC